CCUGGCGACAGUGAGCAUGCAUGCAAGCUGCGGCUGUGAGGCCCUCAUCACUGUCAUUCCAAUAAAUGUCUCAGUUACUUCUUAAAAGAAUAACCUGUCUUGAUUUUAGUUCCUCUGCUGGUCUGGGUUCUAAUUCGGCGCCUCCCAUCCCUGACUCAAGGCUCGGAGAAGAGAACAAAGGCCAUCAGAUGCUGGUGAAGAUGGGCUGGAGUGGCUCUGGCGGCCUCGGUGCGAAGGAGCAAGGGAUCCAGGACCCCAUCAAGGGCGGGGACGUCCGGGAUAAGUGGGACCAGUAUAAAGGCGUGGGCGUGGCUCUGGACGACCCCUAUGAGAACUACCGCAGGAACAAGAGCUACUCCUUCAUCGCCCGCAUGAAGGCCAGGGACGAGUGUAAGUAGGCGCCCAUGCCGGGAGCCACGCCGGUGGCCAGCGGUGCCGGCUGUGGGACCUUCCUGGCUGACUGGCAGUGGAAGAUCGCAGUGACCGCUCAGUUCUCACACCGUCUCCACUUGUGGAGAGAAGGAAGACCAGCGCAUGCCCAGUGGGAACACCGUGCUCCAUGGCGUGGAGGGCACGGGUGCCACCCACAAACCACACCAGGAGGCGCUGCAGCCACCAGGGCCCCAGGCUCGUUUUCCUUUAUAGUGAAGCAAGAAACACA
RNAcentral lists this small RNA (661 nucleotides) under Pongo abelii (Sumatran orangutan). RNAcentral's name for it is "retained intron". Lineage: Eukaryota; Metazoa; Chordata; Mammalia; Primates; Hominidae. The record is from RNAcentral.